UAAAAUUCCCUAUCACUACUACGUGAUGAUCUCGUACGUAGAGUCUCGUUCAUUUUGACAGCUGAAUGUUGUGUUCAUUCAGUAUCCAUCCUACUGUGUGUCGGACGCACCGAAAACCGUAAACGACAUUUUAACCGAUCAAUCAUCCAACUUGGUGAAAAAAAGCUGCAGCCAGGAUGUUUCCGAUAGUGACUACCGGACUUACGUGUAAAGUUCAAAAUGACACAAAUUUGCUCGAGCCUCCAAUUUUCCAUGAAAUAACAACUAUAGAUUCAUUCAAUGGAGUUUUUAAUAAGAACAUCUCCCGCCCGCGUGCAAGAACCAGCUUCUCGGACCAUCUAGACUAUGGAAGCAUUGCACUAAAUGUGAGAAUUAAAGAUCAUCAGUGCAAUAAAUAAUGCAGUUAAGAAAAUUAUAUCUGAGUUCAA
Molecule: long non-coding RNA, 428 nt
Organism: Aedes aegypti (yellow fever mosquito)
Lineage: Eukaryota; Metazoa; Arthropoda; Insecta; Diptera; Culicidae
Exons: 2
Source: RefSeq, a predicted model, not a curated record